RNAcentral lists this ribosomal RNA (253 nucleotides) under uncultured bacterium. RNAcentral's name for it is "partial 16S ribosomal RNA". It matches the Rfam family "Bacterial small subunit ribosomal RNA", at positions 524 to 776 of the family's 1533-position model. The record is from RNAcentral.
UACGUAGGGGGCAAGCGUUGUCCGGAAUCAUUGGGCGUAAAGAGCGUGUAGGCGGCCCGAUAAGUCCGCCGUGAAAGCCCAGGGCUCAACCCUGGGAUGCCGGUGGAUACUGUCGGGCUAGAAUCCGGAAGAGGCGAGUGGAAUUCCUGGUGUAGCGGUGAAAUGCGCAGAUAUCAGGAGGAACACCGAUGGCGAAGGCAGCUCGCUGGGACGGUAUUGACGCUGAGACGCGAAAGCGUGGGGAGCAAACAGG